GCUCAUUCUAACUUGCCUGGUCCAUUGACUAAACUUAAUGCGACUGCAGAUGUUUUAACUCGAUCUAAACGUGAUCUUUAUCCUGUACAUUUUCCUCCCAAGAAUAGAGUUGAAGUUACUCCUCCUCCUCAAUCUCUUUUCCCUAAAGCAGGACAUGUCCCAAUUUACCGUACUCCUCCUUUCCGUUCGUCAUGCUGUCAAGAAUGGCUAAUAUACUGCAUUCAUUAUCUUCAUACUCUUGAUACUCAUGGUCCAUGUCCUGGACACCCUCAUAUUAUGGGGGAAGGUUGGUGGCUGAGCCAAGAUUGGCCUCUCAAUCUCCGGAGGUCCUCUGGAAAGAUCCGUUAACCAGCACUUGGCGUGGUCCUGAUCCUGUGUUGAUUUGGGGACGUGGUCACGUGUGUAUCUUUCCCAGAUCAGCGCCUGGACCUUGCUGGCUUCCUGAGCGCUUAGUCAAGCAAAUAGAUGGCUCGCCACAGCUCACCUAGUUCAGAAGAUGAAGAAGCUCUGCACCUCUCCGGAAAAUUUGACAGUGUUGAUUGAGAAAAAGAAGAAGAAGAGGAGACCACUUGCCAGGACGACUCAAAGGAGUGAUGUUCCAACUUGGGGACAAAUUAAACAACUGGUUUCAUGAGUUCAAGAGUCAGUGAAACAACAGAAUAAUCCUGUUACACCUGUAACUUUAUUUUUGGUUAUGUUGGCAACCAUUUCAUGUGUUCCCUCUGUUAAUGCAGCAACUUACUGGGCCUGUGUACCUGAUCCUCCACUAUUACAACCCAUAUCUUGGUCUGAA
Long non-coding RNA from Lagenorhynchus albirostris (white-beaked dolphin), 793 nucleotides. RefSeq lists it as uncharacterized. The transcript has 2 exons. Lineage: Eukaryota; Metazoa; Chordata; Mammalia; Artiodactyla; Delphinidae. The record is from RefSeq and is a predicted model, not a curated record.